This 440-nucleotide ribosomal RNA is filed under the name uncultured bacterium. RNAcentral's name for it is "partial 16S ribosomal RNA". It matches the Rfam family "Bacterial small subunit ribosomal RNA", at positions 338 to 795 of the family's 1533-position model. The record is from RNAcentral.
CCUACGGGGAGCAGCAGUGGGGGAUAUUGCACAAUGGGGGGAACCCUGAUGCAGCGACGCCGCGUGGGUGAAGAAGCGCCUCGGCGCGUAAAGCCCUGUCAGCAGGGAAGAAAAUGACGGUACCUGAAGAAGAAGCCCCGGCUAACUACGUGCCAGCAGCCGCGGUAAUACGUAGGGGGCAAGCGUUAUCCGGAUUUACUGGGUGUAAAGGGGGCGCAGACGGCGAUGCAAGCCAGGAGUGAAAGCCCGGGGCCCAACCCCGGGACUGCUCUUGGAACUGCGUGGCUAGAGUGCAGGAGGGGCAGGCGGAAUUCCUGGUGUAGCGGUGAAAUGCGUAGAUAUCAGGAGGAACACCGGUGGCGAAGGCGGCCUGCUGGACUGCAACUGACGUUGAGGCCCGAAAGCGUGGGGAGCAAACAGGAUUAGAUACCCCAGUAGUC